AUUGAACGCUGGCGGCAGGCCUAACACAUGCAAGUCGAACGGUAACAGGGAUCAGCUUGCUGAUUCGCUGACGAGUGGCGGACGGGUGAGUAAUGUCUGGGAAACUGCCUGAUGGAGGGGGAUAACUACUGGAAACGGUAGCUAAUACCGCAUAACGUCGCAAGACCAAAGAGGGGGACCUUCGGGCCUCUUGCCAUCGGAUGUGCCCAGAUGGGAUUAGCUAGUAGGUGGGGUAACGGCUCACCUAGGCGACGAUCCCUAGCUGGUCUGAGAGGAUGACCAGCCACACUGGAACUGAGACACGGUCCAGACUCCUACGGGAGGCAGCAGUGGGGAAUAUUGCACAAUGGGCGCAAGCCUGAUGCAGCCAUGCCGCGUGUAUGAAGAAGGCCUUCGGGUUGUAAGUACUUUCAGCGGGGAGGAAGGGAGUAAAGUUAAUACCUUUGCUCAUUGACGUUACCCGCAGAAGAAGCACCGGCUAACUCCGUG
RNAcentral lists this ribosomal RNA (489 nucleotides) under uncultured bacterium. RNAcentral's name for it is "partial 16S ribosomal RNA". It matches the Rfam family "Bacterial small subunit ribosomal RNA", at positions 30 to 507 of the family's 1533-position model. The record is from RNAcentral.